RNAcentral lists this non-coding RNA (21 nucleotides) under Caenorhabditis elegans. The record is from RNAcentral. Lineage: Eukaryota; Metazoa; Nematoda; Chromadorea; Rhabditida; Rhabditidae.
UCAACCGACUGGAUGCCUAUC